GACGAACGCUGGCGGCGUGCUUAACACAUGCAAGUCGAACGGACAGGCCCUGCUCUUGCUGCGUUCUUGUGUGGGGAACGGGGGAGUAACACGCGAGUAUCCUCCACUUGACUUUGGGAGAACUUCAGGAAACAGGGGCUAAUAUCGGGGAUAAGCUCCUGCUGCACGGUGUUGGUUGGAGAGUUCCGGCGGUGGUGGAUGGACUCGCUGCUUAUGAGCUGGUUGGUGUGGUAGUUGUUUACAAAGCCUUUGACGGGUAGCCGGCCUGAGAGGGUGGACGGCCACAAGGGGACUGAGAUACGGACCAGACUCCUACGGGAGGCAGCAGUGGGGAAUAUUGCACAAUGGGCCGGAGCCUGAGGCAGCAGCGCCGCGAGCGGGAUGACCGCCUUUGGGUUGUAAACCGCUUUCGCCUGAGAUGUAGAGUGAGUGACGGUAAUUGGUAAAGAAGCAACGGCUAACUACGUG
RNAcentral lists this ribosomal RNA (468 nucleotides) under uncultured bacterium. Its description in RNAcentral is "partial 16S ribosomal RNA". It matches the Rfam family "Bacterial small subunit ribosomal RNA", at positions 28 to 507 of the family's 1533-position model. The record is from RNAcentral.